UAAAGCAAGAAAGGGCGUAUGGGGAAUGCCUAGGCACACUCCGGCGAAGAAGGACGCAGCAAACAGCGAAAUGCGACGGUGAGCGGUAAGCACGUGAAGAGCCGUCGAUAUCCGAAUGGGGGAACCCACACGGAGUCAUAUCCGUGUAUCACAUGUCGAAUACAUAGACAUGAUGAGGCGAGACGCAGGGAACUGAAACAUCUAAGUACCUGCAGGAAGAGAAAAUAAGAAUGAUUUUCUGAGUAGCGGCGAGCGAAAGGGAAAGAGCCCAAACCGAUUUGAGGAUCGGGGUAGUAGGAUCAUCGAGGAAUCUGACAGAGGAUCAUAGAGGAAUCACAUGGGAAGGUGAGCGAGAGAGGGUGAGAGCCCCGUACUCGAAAUGAGAGACUGGAGAGAGAUGACACCUGAGUAGGGCGGGACACGAGAAAUCCUGUCUGAAUCAGCCGGGACCAUCCGGCAAGGCUAAAUACGAGAGAGUGACCGAUAGUGAACCAGUACCGUGAGGGAAAGGUGAAAAGAACCCCGGGAGGGGAGUGAAAGAGAACCUGAAACCAUAUGCCUACAAGAAGUCAGAGCCCGUUAAAGGGUGAUGGCGUGCCUUUUGUAGAAUGAACCGGCGAGUUACUGUAUGGAGCGAGGUUAAGCAGGAUAUGCGGAGCCGAAGCGAAAGCGAGUCUUAAGAGGGCGCGAGUUGCAUGCAGUAGACCCGAAACCGGGUGAUCUAGCCAUGACCAGGUUGAAGUUGGGGUAAAACCCGAUGGAGGACCGAACCGACCCCCGUUGAAACGUUGGCGGAUGAGUUGUGGCUAGGGGUGAAAUUCCAAUCGAACCCGGAGAUAGCUGGUUCUCCCCGAAAUAGCUUUAGGGCUAGCGUCGAGAGAAGAGUUGCGUGAAGGUAGAGCACUGAAUAUGUGAUGGCCCCAUCUCGGGGUACUGAGCAUAAUCAAACUGCGAAUGUCACGCCAACAUGCUCGGCAGUCAGACAGCGGGUGAUAAGGUCCGUUGUCAAGAGGGAAACAGCCCAGACCAUCAGCUAAGGUCCCAAAAUGUAUGCUAAGUGGAAAAGGAUGUGGAGAUGUACAGACAACUAGGAGGUUGGCUCAGAAGCAGCCAUCCUUUAAAGAGUGCGUAACAGCUCACUAGUCGAAUGACUCUGCGCCGAUAAUUUACCGGGGCUAAGCAUACUACCGAAGCUAUGGAUCCCAAGGGAUGGUAGGGGAGCGUUCCAUGAACGGAGAAGUACGACCGAAAGGACGUGUGGAGAUCAUGGAAGAGAGAAUGCCGGUGUGAGUAGCGGAACGUGGGUGAGAAUCCCACGCACCGAAAACCCAAGGUUUCCAGAGGAAGGUUCGUCCGCUCUGGGUAAGUCGGGACCUAAGGCGAGGCCGAAAGGCGUAGUCGAUGGACAACAGGUAGAGAUUCCUGUACCCGUAUAUAUGUGAAGGAAUGACGGAGAGAGGAAGCUGCAGCCAGCGGCUGGAAGAGCUGGUGCAAGCGAGAUAUCGGGAUGGCAGGCAAAUCCACCAUCCGAAACGAGAAGGCGUGAAGCGUACGGAAAGCUACGGCGAGUACGGAAGGCAGUGGAGGAACUUCCAAGAAAAGUUUCUAACGUUAAGUAUAUAUGGCCCGUACCGAAAAUGGACACACAUGGGUGAGGAGAGAAUCCUAAGGUGAGCGAGAGAACUAUAGCUAAGGAACUCUGCAAAAUGACUCCGUAACUUAGGGAGAAGGAGUGCUCAUAGAGAUAUGAGCCGCAGUGAAACGGCCCAAGCGACUGUUUACCAAAAACACAGCUCUCUGCUAAGCCGCAAGGCGAAGUAUAGGGGGUGACGCCUGCCCGGUGCUGGAAGGUUAAGGGGAGGGGUUAACGCAAGUGAAGCCCUGAACUGAAGCCCCAGUAAACGGCGGCCGUAACUAUAACGGUCCUAAGGUAGCGAAAUUCCUUGUCAGGUAAGUUCUGACCC
RNAcentral lists this ribosomal RNA (1964 nucleotides) under human gut metagenome. RNAcentral describes it as "bacterial LSU rRNA". It matches the Rfam family "Bacterial large subunit ribosomal RNA", at positions 1 to 1989 of the family's 2925-position model. The record is from RNAcentral.